Molecule: long non-coding RNA, 243 nt
Filed under: Brassica napus (rape)
Lineage: Eukaryota; Viridiplantae; Streptophyta; Magnoliopsida; Brassicales; Brassicaceae
Description: long non-coding RNA (BNAP_LNC023378)
Source: RNAcentral
AUUUUCUGAUGUAUUGAGACUAUUUUGUAUUCUACUUAAUGAUAAUGGAUGUGUUGAACACUUGAAUCUAAAUGUAAGUUCGUGUAUAAUUAUAAAAUAGACAUAGAAAAUCAUAUAGAAUUUAGCGAUUGAUUCAUGAUAUAUAGUUAUAGAGAUACGAAUUACAAAUUAAAACAAACCCCACUCAUCUUUUAAACUCACAACCUCCUCCACUCUAUUAUUUAGUUGCAACCACAACACACU